Zingiber officinale is the source of this 1388-nucleotide long non-coding RNA. RefSeq lists it as uncharacterized. The record is from RefSeq and is a predicted model, not a curated record. NCBI's taxonomy places the organism in Eukaryota, Viridiplantae, Streptophyta, Magnoliopsida, Zingiberales, Zingiberaceae. The transcript is spliced from 4 exons.
GAAAAGGUGAAAGAAAACAACACAUUAACCCUUUUGUUAUAAUAAUUCAGUUGGCUAAGCAAUCUGACAUGUAGCGCGAAAAGGGAAACACCCAAAUCUGCACCAGGUACACCACCCCCUCCCUCUCUGGAUGCACCGCCAACAGAUGCAGCUGCUUCUGCUGCAAAUUCCCCGGAACUCGCCUCAAGAUCGAGUCCGCAUCCACGCUGUACCUCAGCGCCCACCCGCCGCCGCCUCCCCCUCCGCCCUCCAGCGCCCAAACCUUGAUCCGCCCUUCUUCCUCGCACGCGUAAUGCAACCGCCCUCCAGAUCGGUCGACGCACGCCCCCGGCUUCACUCCCACCGGAAGAUCGAUUAGGCGGCAGGGCAACGCGUCGUCGUCGAGGUCGAUGGCGACGAUGUGGUGGGGGUAAGCGAGGACGUAGAGGAUUCCGGCAAAAUAGCGCAAGGAGGCGGUCAGAGAAUCGGAGUCGAUGCCCCAGUGAACCCGGCGCUCGGCCCACCCACCGGUCGAGGACGAGAAGACCUCGAUCUGCGACCCCUGCGGAAGCCAUCCGGCGAAGGAGACCACCUGCCGAUUGCAAAUCGCCCUUGGAAUGGUAGGAAUCGAAGGCCAAGACGGAGAGGAGAGUGGUCCUGCGCGCCGGCGGCAGCCCAGCCCACCUCUUAGUAAUCGGACUGAGCACGUAGAAGGAGGCGCUGCUGGCAGAGUAGGCGAGCAACAGGCCGCCGCAGCAGUCCACGAUGUCCGACUUACCGUGCAGCGGGAAGAACUCCAACCCACACUCCCGGAGCUCGCCGGCGUCGUUGGAGGUGCACGCGAACCGGGGCUCUCUGUUGGCGGCGCUGCAAUGGUAGAAGACGGCGGAGGUGAGCAGCGGCAGCCGGCGGCGGAGAUAGUCGUCGUUGGAGAUGAGGCCGUGCCAUGCCUUGGAGACGCACUUGAACCGGAAGAGCGACUUGAGGGGAAGCCUGGUGAGGAUCUCCACAGAGACGUCAUCGUUCGCCAUUGAUCAAGGAUGAUAAGAGUUAUAUUACAAGGAUGCCAGAAAACCAGGAUAACGACUUGAACGCGGUGAUGCGUUAUGAGUUGUGGCGUGGUGUCGGCGUCGCGUGGAGUGAGAGGGAAGAUGAGGCUGCUUGUUGCGUCGUUGCUUUGCUUGCUUGGGCGGUUGAUGUACGCAAAGCGAGCGUCCGUUCUGUUCUUCGAAAGCGGAAAAUGAGGCGGCGUAGUGGGGAGGUGGAGGUGGUGAGAGAUGGCGUGGUUGUUUGACACGUUGAAACGUGGAGGGAGCAUCUUAAAAAUAAAUAAAAAAACAAAUUAUAUUUGUAUUAUUAUAUUAUUAUAAAUAUAAUAAUAUUUUAAUAAUUAAAAUUAAAAAGUCAAA